GCUAGGAAUACUGGGCACAGUUGUCAAAUUUUUUAAUAAAACUUAAAUUAAAUUUAGCUUCAACCAAAAAAAAUUUUAUUUAAACAUAAUAAUACCGUCUGUAUUAAUACCCCAUCUAUAAUAGAGAUUGGUGAAACAGACGAAGCAAUAGAAGGCAGAAGUACAGAAAACAAACCUUGUACAAUAGAGGAAGGGGAUCAAUUAAAGACACAUUCUGAUGAAGAAUUAGCCCCAAACGUUAACAAAGACGAAAAAUACUUAAACGAUUUGACAAUACCUGCGGUUCUGACAUCCGAAUCGUCUGAACAACAUUUUUUUGAAUGAAGUUGAAGCUGAAGGCGCAGCCAAAUGGGCAUACAUAAAAGACAUUGCACAUGCAGUCCUAGAAUUUGAUGGAAAUAAAAUUUACCCGCAACGAUUCAUAACAGCAAUUAACUAGAUAACCUAACAAUGACAUAACUAUGAAUCGUUCGCUGUAGAGCUGAUUAAAUCAAAAAUAAGUGCAUCAACCUUACACAAAAUGCAAGUAAGCAAGCGUGUGGAGCAGUUUAAACU
Long non-coding RNA from Drosophila ananassae, 555 nucleotides. RefSeq lists it as uncharacterized. The transcript is spliced from 2 exons. The record is from RefSeq and is a predicted model, not a curated record. Lineage: Eukaryota; Metazoa; Arthropoda; Insecta; Diptera; Drosophilidae.